RNAcentral lists this transfer RNA (90 nucleotides) under Pimelobacter simplex. RNAcentral describes it as "tRNA-Asp". The record is from RNAcentral. Lineage: Bacteria; Bacillati; Actinomycetota; Actinomycetes; Propionibacteriales; Nocardioidaceae.
CCGACUGGGUCAUGGACGUCGUGACCGCCGCGGUCUACGGCGCGGUGGUGCUGAUGAUGCUGCCCCGGGCCCGGCACCCGGUGGUCUGGC